RNAcentral lists this long non-coding RNA (367 nucleotides) under Numida meleagris (helmeted guineafowl). RNAcentral describes it as "lncRNA (ENSNMEG00000016633.1)". Lineage: Eukaryota; Metazoa; Chordata; Aves; Galliformes; Numididae. The record is from RNAcentral.
AUGGUCAGAGCUGGCAGAACCUUGGGCUUCCCAGUGGUCUGCGCAUGUGCAUCUUCAGACUGCGACAAGGGAGCAGUCAUAAAGUUCUUUUCAGAAACCUGUCACAAGUUGCACAGCUUAACAGUGGUAUGCCUUCAUGCUCUGCUCUGGAGCUGCAGUAACAACCUCCUAGGGAGUGCAGGUCAUUUAAUGAUUCCAUACCUGUCAAGACAGAGAGAACAUCCAAUGGCAUUGUCUCAAAGUGUAAGAUACUGUUGUCUAAACAGGGUGUGCUGGUCUCCAGCCUCUGCUUCAGCACUGUGCAUUUAUUCACUGAUGAUGUAAAAUGUAGAGAAGACAGAAGACGGGGGGCUUUAAGGGUUAUUUC